This 438-nucleotide ribosomal RNA is filed under the name uncultured bacterium. RNAcentral's name for it is "bacterial SSU rRNA". It matches the Rfam family "Bacterial small subunit ribosomal RNA", at positions 917 to 1350 of the family's 1533-position model. The record is from RNAcentral.
GGGCCCGCACAAGCGGUGGAGUAUGUGGUUUAAUUCGAUGCAACGCGAAGAACCUUAUCCAGGGUUUGACAUCCCGGAUUAAACCGUCGAAAGACGGUCUACACCCUUUGGGUGGAACGGUGACAGGUGCUGCAUGGCUGUCGUCAGCUCGUGCUGUGAAGUGUCGGGUUAAGUCCCUCAACGAGCGCAACCCUUAUCGUUAGUUGCUAACAGGUAAUGCUGAGGACUCUAGCGAGACUGCCGGUGUCAAACCGGAGGAAGGUGGGGAUGACGUCAAGUCCUCAUGGCCUUUAUGCCCUGGGCUGCACACGUGCUACAAUGGUAGGUACAGAACGAUGCAAGACCGCGAGGUGGAGCAAAUCGCUAAAACCUGCCCCAGUUCGGAUUGGAGGCUGCAACUCGCCUCCAUGAAGUCGGAAUCGCUAGUAAUCGCGGAUC